UGGGGAAUAUUGCACAAUGGGCGCAAGCCUGAUGCAGCCAUGCCGCGUGUGUGAAGAAGGCCUUCGGGUUGUAAAGCACUUUCAGCGAGGAGGAAGGUGGUGAGCUUAAUACGCUCAUCAAUUGACGUUACUCGCAGAAGAAGCACCGGCUAACUCCGUGCCAGCAGCCGCGGUAAUACGGAGGGUGCAAGCGUUAAUCGGAAUUACUGGGCGUAAAGCGCACGCAGGCGGUUUGUUAAGUCAGAUGUGAAAUCCCCGGGCUCGACCUGGGAACUGCAUUUGAAACUGGCAAGCUAGAGUCUCGUAGAGGGGGGUAGAAUUCCAGGUGUAGCGGUGAAAUGCGUAGAGAUCUGGAGGAAUACCGGUGGCGAAGGCGGCCCCCUGGACGAAGACUGACGCUCAGGUGCGAAAGCGUGGGGAGCAAAACAGGAUUAGAUACCCUGGUAGUCCACGCUGUAAACGAUGUCGAUUUGGAGGUUGUGCCCUUGAGGCGUGGCUUCCGGAGCUAACGCGUUAAAUCGACCGCCUGGGGAGUACGGCCGCAAGGUUAAAACUUAAAGGGAAUUGAC
RNAcentral lists this ribosomal RNA (569 nucleotides) under uncultured bacterium. RNAcentral describes it as "partial 16S ribosomal RNA". It matches the Rfam family "Bacterial small subunit ribosomal RNA", at positions 355 to 914 of the family's 1533-position model. The record is from RNAcentral.